This 438-nucleotide ribosomal RNA is filed under the name Triticum aestivum (bread wheat). RNAcentral describes it as "partial small subunit ribosomal RNA". The record is from RNAcentral. Lineage: Eukaryota; Viridiplantae; Streptophyta; Magnoliopsida; Poales; Poaceae.
AUGGCGCCCGUGCCGGCGACCACCUACAGCCCGCUGCUCCGAGCCGUCUCUUUAGCGCAGAGCACAGCCCUCCGCGCCCCCUUCGUCGUCCGUCUCUGCUGGCGACCUCCACCACCAUGCGCCGCGCGCCCAACCUCCAGCUCACGCCUGUGUCCCUCCAGCAUCGAUGAGGACCACCUCCGACCUCCACGUCCUCUGCUUCACCUCCUCGCGCCCGUGCUCCUCCCGUUGUUUGGUCUUCCUUACCCACCUAUCAGGGACGCCAUGGCUGCCGCCCCAUGGAGUUUCAUCGGCCCAUAUCUGGCCGGGAACCAAACGAGCCCCGUGCCUGCUGCUGCCGCUGUUUUUCCCUCUGUCAAACGAAUGAACACCUUCCCCGGAGACUGCCAAGACCGUUCAGGAUUCGCCAAGUACCGGUUCGAGUACGACUAUCGCUGA